RNAcentral lists this ribosomal RNA (225 nucleotides) under uncultured bacterium. RNAcentral's name for it is "partial 16S ribosomal RNA". It matches the Rfam family "Bacterial small subunit ribosomal RNA", at positions 116 to 334 of the family's 1533-position model. The record is from RNAcentral.
CGUGGGUAACCUACCCAUCAGAGGGGGAUAACACUUGGAAACAGGUGCUAAUACCGCAUAACAGUUUAUGCCGUAUGGCAUAAGAGUGAAAGGCGCUUUCGGGUGUCGCUGAUGGAUGGACCCGCGGUGCAUUAGCUAGUUGGUGAGGUAACGGCUCACCAAGGCCACGAUGCAUAGCCGACCUGAGAGGGUGAUCGGCCACACUGGGACUGAGACACGGCCCAG